GUCUGGGCGGUGGGCGGGAACGUGACGGCGGCGUGGAAGGAGGACGUGAGUCUGGCAUGUGGAGCAGUGGGCGUGCCAGAGCCCACCCUCACCUGGACCCACCAGAGAACCCCCAUCCCUGACCCCCAUGACAGGUUCCGGGUGCAGCCUGACGGGACGCUGACGUUGGCUGACGUACAGAGGAGUGACAGCGGCCGCUACACCUGCACUGCUGUCAACCAUCACGGCAGUGAUACCGUCACUUACAAUCUCACUGUUCUAGUGCCACCUUCAGCACCAUUACUUCACGUCACAGAGACAACCUCGUCCUCCAUCAGAGUCCAGUGGAGUGUUGAGGACAACGGUGGAGCAGCACUCC
Non-coding RNA from Cherax quadricarinatus, 358 nucleotides. The record is from RefSeq and is a predicted model, not a curated record. NCBI's taxonomy places the organism in Eukaryota, Metazoa, Arthropoda, Malacostraca, Decapoda, Parastacidae.